CGACUUGGAGGUUGUUCCCUUGAGGAGUGGCUUCCGGAGCUAACGCGUUAAGUCGACCGCCUGGGGAGUACGGCCGCAAGGUUAAAACUCAAAUGAAUUGACGGGGGCCCGCACAAGCGGUGGAGCAUGUGGUUUAAUUCGUUGCAACGCGAAGAACCUUACCUACUCUUGACAUCCACGGAAUUCGGCAGAGAUGCCUUAGUGCCUUCGGGAACCGUGAGACAGGUGCUGCAUGGCUGUCGUCAGCUCGUGUUGUGAAAUGUUGGGUUAAGUCCCGCAACGAGCGCAACCCUUAUCCUCUGUUGCCAGCGAGUCAUGUCGGGAACUCAAAGGAGACUGCCGGUGAUAAACCGGAGGAAGGUGGGGAUGACGUCAAGUCAUCAUGGCCCUUACGAGUAGGGCUACACACGUGCUACAAUGGCGCAUACAAAGAGAAGCGACCUCGCGAGAGCAAGCGGACCUCACAAAGUGCGUCGUAGUCCGGAUCGGAGUCUGCAACUCGACUCCGUGAAGUCGGAAUCGCUAGUAAUCGUGGAUCAGAAUGCCACGGUGAAUACGUUCCCGGGCCUUGUACACACCGCCCGUCACACCAUGGGGGUGGGUUGCAAAAGAGGUAGGUAGCUUAACCUUCGGGAGGGCGCUUACCACUUUGUGAUUCAUGACUGGGGUGAAGUCGUAACAAGGUACC
Molecule: ribosomal RNA, 688 nt
Filed under: uncultured bacterium
Lineage: Bacteria
Description: bacterial SSU rRNA
Rfam family: Bacterial small subunit ribosomal RNA
Source: RNAcentral